RNAcentral lists this small RNA (76 nucleotides) under Flavobacterium noncentrifugens. RNAcentral describes it as "Flavo-1 RNA". It matches the Rfam family "Flavo-1 RNA". The record is from Rfam by way of RNAcentral. Lineage: Bacteria; Pseudomonadati; Bacteroidota; Flavobacteriia; Flavobacteriales; Flavobacteriaceae.
CCCUAGCCCUGAUGGCAGUGAAAAUCCUUUUUACAAGGCACGAGAAAAAAGAUUGUAACGAACAGCAGGAAAUAGC